This 2421-nucleotide long non-coding RNA is filed under the name Volvox carteri. RNAcentral describes it as "long non-coding RNA (VCAR_LNC001069)". The record is from RNAcentral. Lineage: Eukaryota; Viridiplantae; Chlorophyta; Chlorophyceae; Chlamydomonadales; Volvocaceae.
ACGGCCAGCAGCGGGCAGCAGCUGCCGGCCUUGCGGCAUCAUCAUCAUCACCAUCAUCAUCAUCAUCAUCAUCAAGUAAUGAAAAGAGACCCAUACGAGGAAAAAAGUGAUGUCGUUGAAGUGUUGUUGUCCCUCUUCAAGAGGGAAGAGAUGCGCGAUGUUGCCUGUUUUGGGGUCCGGUGUAUCUGUUUACUUGUUUUCGGAACACAGCGCUUUCAAUGCCACUUACUGACCCGUGGGUCCUGACCCAUGCUUGCUUGGCGAUUGUGAGAUGUGGUGCUAUUCUUGCGGUGAGGGUAGAGAUAUCAGUCAUUCGGCACUUGCGUGCUGCUGCCACCACCACCACCACCACCAACAACAACAACAACAACAACAACACGAGGGCAGGCCGCAGUCCAGCCGCCGAUUUCCUUACCUGCAGCCCACAUAAAGCAUAAACACGCCGUCUGGUAUCGGCGGAUAACCCCCGGGGCCCGCCCCCCCCCACCUUGCUGUGCGUGUUCCUUUCGGCACCGAGGGCGGGGUGUUGCGUCUACCUCCCCCCACCCCACCCCACCCCACCCCACUGGUGCCCGCUGCCCCGCGGCUUCACGACGGGGGGAGGGGUUACAACGCAAAGAAUAAAGGUUUUGAAUUACCCGACAGUUGGGUCGGGUCUAGGAUAUGCUUCCGUAGAUUGUGGGGUUGUGGGGAGAGGUACAAGGCUCUUGAGCAUCUGAGCCCCCUCGUUGCCCCCUGCGUAUUAUGUAGGUUCCAUCGUACGUACGGCCUCUCGCUAACUCUUAUCCCAUGACAUGUUGCUACCGCUACUCCCCCCCCACCGUCAUCCGCACGACUUGCUUACAUACAUCUGUACAUACAUACACACACACAGGGGAGACGCUGGCGGCGGCGAUCAUCACGAGCACCUGGACAGAGUGGCUCAGGAGAAGGUACGACAUGCACGGUUGUCGUACGUACGGCUGCCUGGCAUCCAUCCAGCGCCAGGCAGGGUAUGGAACGGAGACGUACUGACCUUCCUUCAGGUGUCGACCUCCCGUCUUGUGUGCUCGGCAGGACAGCGGUCUUGUUGCGGGAAUCCCGAACAUUACCCUUUCUCUUCCUCUUCCAUGAAAAUCCGAACAACGGUUUUUCUUUGUUUGGAGAGUCCAGGAUACCCCCAGCUACUCCCGAGCGCUCUCGAGUACCUGUCUGUGUGCAGUAGCUGCCGCUGCUGCUGCUGCUGCUGCUGCUGCUGCUGCUGCUGCUUGCAUGCUCGCCCCUGCUGCUCUCCUCUGUCCUCCUCCUCCAUCCAGCCAGCCCACCUAAACGUUACAUGUUGUACCCUUCAUACAAUGUGUGUACACCAGGAAGGGUGCAACCAUUCAUACAAUAAUCUCACCGCACCCUCCUUUUCCCCUCCUCGCAAUGUGUCGGCCAUGUAUGUAUGUAUGUAUGUGAUGUGACCCGUGGCGGUCUUUUCGCAGUUCGGUAAGAACUUCGAGGAGCUGGAGCCCAUGCAGCGAAUCCAAGUGGGGGGCACCGUGGGUGGCCAGGUGGGUGCGCGUGUGUGUGUAUGUGUGUGUGUGUGUGUGGAGGUGCCCAUGAGGAGGGUGAUGGGGUGGAUUGGGGGGCCCCUUGUUGCUUAGGCGGCUAGGGAGGGGUGAUGUGAGCGGGUGAGGUGUGAUGUGUGAGCGGAUGGUCGUAGAAGGUCAAUAAUAGUAGGUGCCUUCCUCUCGUUCACCCAUCCCCCCCCCCACACACACACACGCGUGUUUUUCGUGUGCACGCGAUUUUGUGCCAGGGGUGGCCCCGGGUUUGGGGAGGGGGGAAGGCUGGUGGGUAUGAGACAGCAACAGUCGUUGGUGAACCCGGGAUAUGCGCGCGUGGAGAGGUAUGGGGUGAGGGUUUGGGAACGGCGUCCCUCGCGACGGGCCCGGAAGGUCGGAGACGGACGGAGGGGUAGAGGACGCGGGCGGUUGCGACGCGAGGGGUCUUCUUUCUCCAAUUCCAAGUACGAAGGGCAUCAUGUGAAGAAUGUGUGUGUGUGUGCGUGCGUACUAGAGCAACCCCUGCCUAGUUAAGGGAGUUAGCUAAACCACUAAACACAUCCUCCAUACAACCGCGACACGCAGGCUGGCGGUCUGUACACGGGCACCGGUGGGGAUGAGUGAGCGAGGGAGACCGGGACGGGCGGAUGAGGGCAUGGAUAGCUGGAUGAGGGGCACAGCAGUACUCCCCCCAAACCCCAAACACAGUACUUGGCGGUCACCAGUACUUCGCAGCGGACCCCGCAGCGGUUUCGAGGAGGAUGGGGUUCCUGGAGGAGGUCGCUAUUGCUAACUAACUGCUAAUUAGUUGUGCUGUGUGUACCACAAAUAGUUGGGACGUUGCGGUGGCAGGCAGGGAUGUGAAUGGGGAUUGCUUUUUGACGAUUAUGCG